Long non-coding RNA from Mastomys coucha (southern multimammate mouse), 3064 nucleotides. RefSeq lists it as uncharacterized. The record is from RefSeq and is a predicted model, not a curated record. Lineage: Eukaryota; Metazoa; Chordata; Mammalia; Rodentia; Muridae. The transcript is spliced from 2 exons.
GAGACAUUUUCUGACUACUGUAACUGGCACCUAGGUCAUUGUCUAGCAAAUAAUAAGUAUGCAGCAAACAUUUGUUGCAUGAGUAAGUGAAAGUGAGGCAAAAUGCUACUAUUUAUAGGAAUUCUGAGGAGGCUGGGAGUUCUAGGAAUGGGGUACAUCUACAAACAAACCCAGAUCUGGCUGCUUGACACUCAGAAGACCCAGUAAUUCAGCAUUCUGUUGUUGUGGCAAGUAAAAAUAUUUAUUUGGGAAACCAACAAGCCAAAGAAGAUGAGAGUAAAGACCAUCCUCUUGUGCUCUGCACAAGAUAAAGAACUUAAAGGGGAGAAAAGAAAAGCAGGUGCAGAGACCCCUGGCUCUAUACAGUAAGCCUGAAAUGGUACAUUGAGAUUGACAUUGGUCUUAGGUGCAAUCCCCUAGUUCAGUCUCCUGGAUUUAAUUCUAAACUGACAACAUCAUCCAUCUCCCAUGGAGCCCCUGUGAGAAUCAGCAGUGCCCAAUGGUGUCAUGUAGUUGGCUGUCCAGAGUGCUUCCUCUGGAUUGGAGGCAGUCCUGGUGCAGGACAGGGAAGACAGGUGAAGGGUGGCAGUAAGCAAAAUGGCCAACAGACAGCUCCUCCAAUGAGGCUGCUCACCCCAGAAUGGGGGGUCUUUCUGUAUGAGCACUGUCAACAUUUACUUUCACUUUAUACAUUGGAUUUGCAUCUGAAAAGGCCAAGUAUAAUCAACAUUUAAAGGAUAACACUCAAAUUUGCAUCUGAUUGAGCAGACAUGUUAAGUAAUUUUAGCCUGGCUGUUGCUAAGAAACCAAUUAAUAAUGCUCCAUGUUUCAUUGAAAAUUGGAUUCUGUCUGCUUUUCAUUUAACUUCACAAUUCAGCUACUUGUGCUAUACUUUUCUCCCUUGGUUAAAUUGUGACAGACAAAUUAUCGUUUUACUACAUUUAUUUCUGUGAUUACAAUUGUUAGUCAUAUCUGUCAAUACAAUUUCAAAGCUUUUCUUUUUUAAUGCUGUAGGAUGGAAAACUGAAUUUUAACUGUUGAUCAUUCUUUUCCUUUAUAGUUUGUGGGUACUAGGUUAUAUUUUUGUGAAGGCCUUAUAAAUUGUGGGUAACAAAAAAAAAAUUUAAAGCAAUCUUCCCUGCUCCAUAAUUGCCCUUUCUCUGUAUAAAGACUAAUAAUUAGAAUAUUAGGCAUGAUUCAGAAAGUGACAGACAGCUGAUUAAGCAUUCAGCUGCAUCUUAUGUUGCUCUUUCUUUCCGUGGUUUGUAGACUAUACCAGGUUCUGUCUUUUAUGCAAUGCAUUUUGAUUUUUGUGACUUUAUUUUAGAUGAUAGCCUCUGUUCUUCUGAAUAAAAAAUGUUCUUUUAGCUACUAUUGUUCCUUUUUGAACCAGUCAACUGGGUAGUUACAUUUAGUAGUAGCAGCACUUCACAGUAUGAUGUUUUGUAGUAUUGAUCUGGCUAAAAUGCUCAUUAAGAGGCAAAAUUGGUUGCUAUUCGCACGCGUUUUUACAAUGCUUGAAGCUUGGUUUGGAUGAUGCACACAGACGGCUGAUUCUUAAGCCUAGUUAGUGGUAGCACAGAAAGCCAAGCUCCAGGAGGCAAAGCAGAGUCUGCUUUUGUAUUUUAUGGUUCACAUCUUUAGAGUUUGGGUUCUGAAGAUAAAAUACAAAGGACAUAAAAUUUAAAAGUAUCUGUGAAGUGAAAUUUCAGUCUAGCCCCUUCUGUAUCACCAUGCCUUGUAGGACUGUAAGCACUGGGGAGAGGGCGUGUCCCAUUCCGAUCCCUCAAGAGCACAGGGACAGUGUUUGAAUGAGCUAUAGCUGCCCCAGCAUCUAAGACUCCCUUCUGAGGCUGCUCUCUCCUAGCCUGUGGGCAUGCUGCUCCUUGCUGUGUCCUCCCACUUGUGCUCUCUGCAUGCACAGCCCAGUAGUCUCCCGGAGACACAAUCUCUUGAAAUUCAGAUUGAAUGUGGGCUUACCCCCAGGGCCUUGCUGUAAUCUUAACUACCUCUGAAAGGCUCUGUCUGUCAGGGUUGCAUUCUGGGGCACAGGAAUUAGAACAUCAACAAUUUUAGGAAGAAACUACCAGCCAAUAGCAGGCAUAGCACAUGUUGCCAACUCUCAUUCACUCUGUUCAUUUGUUUCUUAGUGACCAGUGGUGGAGAUGGCCAGAAAGGAAGCAGGAAGUAUGACUGACUUCUCUGUUCAGGUCAGAUCUGACCAUAAAGAGUAGUAUUACUCUUCUUUCUAUUUUUAUUAUUUUGUCCUUUGGGACAUUUACUGGAGCCAUUUUUUUUCUGACCUUACUUGAUUAGCCAUAUGCAGAUGAACCUGUCUUCAUACCUCUGCAGGGGCUACUGAUUCAAAGCAUGAUUCGAUAAACAAUGACUGUCUUCAGUGUGUGAUGGCGCUGGCCAGCUGAGGCCUGGGAGGAGCCUGCUGUGAGGAUCUGAAGACAGACCCCUUCCAUGACCCUACAAUGCUGGCUGAGCAAUAUGGAUGACAUACGUGAUGACUGCAUUGUUGACGCUGAGCAUGAACAUCCGUUGGUGGAGCUUCUGGUGCUCCGAGAAAUCUUUUCUCCAACCCUGCCCUCUGAGGAUUGAUUCCACGCAUCCCAGGACUUCCUCGAGGUGGAGCUGAGCUCAUGUUGGUGGCUGCCCUCCACUUGCUGCUCAUCUGCAUGUGCUUUCCUCUGAGUGCACUCAUCAUGAGGGGCAUUCAUGCCACAUCAGCCAACCUUAGCUCCACUGGGUCACAGCCCAGCCUGCUGUUUUCCCUACUACCCUGAAGUCAGAGGAUAAAAAAAAACAAAACAAAACAAAAACCCCUCCCUCAGCUGUCUACUUCCUCCACAUUUCCUCCCCUCUGCUCCCUCCCUAUCUCCUUUCCUCCCUCUCUCCUUUCUUCCCUCCCUCCCUUUUGUUCUUGCUUUUUGACAUAGUCAUACUUUGAUUGUAUUCAUCCUCCAUUUUCUGUUGCUCCCUUCUACCCUCAAAGCAGUUCCAUGGAAUUUUCUUGCCUUUCCCACCAAAUCCAUGCAUAAUAAAAUACUGAAAUACA